This 497-nucleotide ribosomal RNA is filed under the name uncultured bacterium. RNAcentral describes it as "partial 16S ribosomal RNA". It matches the Rfam family "Bacterial small subunit ribosomal RNA", at positions 28 to 507 of the family's 1533-position model. The record is from RNAcentral.
GACGAACGCUGGCGGCGUGCCUAAUACAUGCCAGUUGAGCGAUGAAGAUUGGUGCUUGCACCAAUUUGAAGAGCAGCGAACGGGUGAGUAACGCGUGGGGAAUCUGCCUUUGAGCGGGGGACAACAUUUGGAAACGAAUGCUAAUACCGCAUAACAACUUUAAACAUAAGUUUUAAGUUUGAAAGAUGCAAUUGCAUCACUCAAAGAUGAUCCCGCGUUGUAUUAGCUAGUUGGUGAGGUAAAGGCUCACCAAGGCGAUGAUACAUAGCCGACCUGAGAGGGUGAUCGGCCACAUUGGGACGGAGACACGGCCCAAACUCCUACGGGAGGCAGCAGUAGGGAAUCGUCGGCAAUGGACGAAAGUCUGACCGAGCAACGCCGCGUGAGUGAAGAAGGUUUUCGGAUCGUAAAACUCUGUUGGUAGAGAAGAACGUUGGUGAGAGUGGAAAGCUCAUCAAGUGACGGUAACUACCCAGAAAGGGACGGCUAACUACGUG